RNAcentral lists this ribosomal RNA (458 nucleotides) under uncultured bacterium. RNAcentral describes it as "partial 16S ribosomal RNA". It matches the Rfam family "Bacterial small subunit ribosomal RNA", at positions 338 to 795 of the family's 1533-position model. The record is from RNAcentral.
CCUACGAGGCAGCAGUGAGGAAUAUUUGUCAAUAGCCGGAAGGCUGAACCAGCCAUGCCGCGUGAAGGUCAGUGCCCUAUGGGCGUUAAACUUCUUUUGUGCGGGAGCAAUAAUGGUCACGUGUGGCCAGACGAGAGUACCGUACGAAUAAGCAUCGGCUAACUCCGUGCCAGCAGCCGCGGUAAUACGGGGGAUGCAGGCGUUAUCCGGAUUUAUUGGGUUUAAAGGGGGCGUAGGCUGUGAGGUAAGUCAGCGGUGAAAUGCCCCCGCUCAACGGGGUGAAGUGCCAUUGAUACUGUCUGGCUGGAAUGCGGAUGCAGUGGGAGGAAUGUGUGGUGUAGCGGGGAAAUGCAUAGAUAUCACACAGAACACCGAUUGCGAAGGCAUCUCACGAAUCCGCGAUUGACGCUGAUGCACGAAAGCGUGGGUAUCAAACAGGAUUAGAUACCCUAGUAGUC